RNAcentral lists this ribosomal RNA (494 nucleotides) under uncultured bacterium. Its description in RNAcentral is "partial 16S ribosomal RNA". It matches the Rfam family "Bacterial small subunit ribosomal RNA", at positions 28 to 523 of the family's 1533-position model. The record is from RNAcentral.
GAUGAACGCUAGCGGCAGGCUUAACACAUGCAAGUCGAGGGGUAUAGGUUUUCGGACCUAGAGACCGGCGCACGGGUGCGUAACGCGUAUGCAAUCUACCUUUUGCAGAGGGAUAGCCCAGAGAAAUUUGGAUUAAUACCUCAUAGUAUAACACAAUCGCAUGAUUGAGUUAUUAAAGUCACAACGGCAAAAGAUGAGCAUGCGUCCCAUUAGCUAGAUGGUAAGGUAACGGCUUACCAUGGCUACGAUGGGUAGGGGUCCUGAGAGGGAGAUCCCCCACACUGGUACUGAGACACGGACCAGACUCCUACGGGAGGCAGCAGUGAGGAAUAUUGGUCAAUGGACGCAAGUUUGAACCAGCCAUGCCGCGUGCAGGAUGACGGUCCUAUGGAUUGUAAACUGCUUUUGUACAGGAAGAAACGCUCCUUCGUGAAGGAACUUGACGGUGCUGUAAGAAUAAGGAUCGGCUAACUCCGUGCCAGCAGCCGCCGUAA